This 503-nucleotide ribosomal RNA is filed under the name Bitylenchus dubius. RNAcentral describes it as "SSU rRNA". It matches the Rfam family "Eukaryotic small subunit ribosomal RNA", at positions 88 to 590 of the family's 1831-position model. Lineage: Eukaryota; Metazoa; Nematoda; Chromadorea; Rhabditida; Telotylenchidae. The record is from RNAcentral.
CGCGAACGGCUCAUUAUAACAGCUAUAAUUUACUUGAAUUUGACAACCCUACUUGGAUACCGGUGGUAAUUCUAGCGCUAAUACAUGCACCAAAGCUCCGACCGCGAGGGAAGAGCGCAUUUAUUAGAACAAAACCACACGGCUUCGGCCGUCCAAUGUUGACUCAGAAUAACUAAGCUGAUCGCAUGGUCUUGCACCGGCGACGUUUCUUUCAAGUAUCUGCCUUAUCAACUUUCGAUGGUAGUGUAUCUGACUACCAUGGUGAUGACGGGUAACGGAGGAUAAGGGUUCGACUCCGGAGAAGGGGCCUGAGAAAUGGCCACUACGUCUAAGGAUGGCAGCAGGCGCGCAAAUUACCCACUCUCAGUACGAGGAGGUAGUGACGAGAAAUAACAAGACCGUUCUCACAAGAGGCCGGUCAUUGGAAUGGGUACAAUUUAAACCCUUUAACGAGUAUCUAUGAGAGGGCAAGUCUGGUGCCGGCAGCCGCGGUAAUUCCAGCU